Molecule: ribosomal RNA, 406 nt
Filed under: uncultured bacterium
Lineage: Bacteria
Description: partial 16S ribosomal RNA
Rfam family: Bacterial small subunit ribosomal RNA
Source: RNAcentral
AUUGAACGCUGGCGGCAGGCCUAACACAUGCAAGUCGAACGAGUGGCGGACGGGAGAGUAAUGUCUGGGAAACUGCCAGAUGGAGGGGGAUAACUACUGGAAACUGUAGCUAAUACCGCCUACCAUCGGAUGUGCCCAAAUGGGAUAGUCGAGUAGGUGGGGGAACUGCGCACCGAGGCGACGAUCCCUAGCUGGUCUGAGAGGAUGACCAGCCACACUGGAACGGAGACACGGGCCAGACUCCUACGGGAGGCAGCAGUGGGGAAGAUUGGACAAUGGGCGAAAGCCUGAUGCAGCCAUGCCGCGUGUAUGAAGAAGGCCUUCGGGUUGUAAAGUACUUUCAGCGAGGAGGCGUUACUCGCAGAAUAAGCACCGGCUAACUCCGUGCCAGCAGCCGCGGUAAUUC